UUCGAAGAUCUUUCUAAUAUCGAGUGGCCUUGUUGAGUAUCACAUGUCCAAGCUCCAUGAUUCAGCGCUGUUUCGCAAUAUCUCCUCCUACCCAUUGACUCCUGGGUGAAGAUCUAGAGGAGCAAGAAAUAGUACCUUGUUCAUGCAGGACACAAAGACGAAACAGUGAUGAUCCUGUUAAGAACCCGCAACCUCCUGAUUAUGAGCCUGGCGCUCUACACUCUUAAAAUUAAGUAGUAAAAAUAACUAUUUCAUAGCAAUUUUUUAGACUACGGCUGUGAAAUUUGUUGUUUUAGCUAUCAAAAUAGUGAUUCUUAACCAUUUUGAUGGUACUUUUUACUACUUUUUUUAAGUUGGAACAAUUAAUUAAUGGGUUGGUUUUUACUGAUUCUACUGUUCCUGCAAUAGAAACUACCACAAAUUAGUUGCUUUAACUAAUCAAUUUUAAGAGUGUAACCAUCAUGCUACUGAUCUCAAUAAUAGUACUCCCCUCAAUAAUAGACAAAAACUUGUUUCUUCUUCAGACGUAAAUGAAUGCGAUGAUGAACCAGGGCCAUGUGAUGAGAAUGCUGAGUGCAUCAAUCAGCCGGGAUCAUACACCUGUUCAUGUAACACUGGCUACAUCGGACAUGGUCACACUUGUUCUGACGUAGAUGAAUGUAAGACAAACCAACAUGCCUGUAAUGAACAUGCGGAGUGCGCUAACACUCCCGGUUCUUACAUCUGUGAAUGCCAGCCAGGUUAUAACGGUGAUGGAAGGAUUUGCACGCCCAUGGCUUUAGAAAGUGAUGAGAAUGCCACGCCCGCUCAAAACACAGCUUCACAGUUCAAAUUCCGAAUCGGGCCUUACAGACGUGACUUUGCUCGCACAGUAUGUGUGAGGUUGGAAG
Lineus longissimus is the source of this 890-nucleotide long non-coding RNA. RefSeq lists it as uncharacterized. Lineage: Eukaryota; Metazoa; Nemertea; Pilidiophora; Heteronemertea; Lineidae. The record is from RefSeq and is a predicted model, not a curated record. The transcript is spliced from 3 exons.